Molecule: ribosomal RNA, 1138 nt
Filed under: uncultured bacterium
Lineage: Bacteria
Description: bacterial SSU rRNA
Rfam family: Bacterial small subunit ribosomal RNA
Source: RNAcentral
AGUCGAGAAUCAUUCGCAAUGGGCGAAAGCCUGACGAUGCGACGCCGUGUGAACGAAGAAGGCCUUCGGGUUGUAAAGUUCUUUCGCCUGGGAACAAGAGAGGCUAGCUAAUAACUAGCCGAUUUGAGGGUACUAGGUAAAGAAGCACCGGCUAACUCCGUGCCAGCAGCUGCGGUAAUACGGAGGGUGCAAGCGUUAAUCGGAUUUAUUGGGCGUAAAGAGCGCGUAGGCGGAAGUGUCAGUCAGACGUGAAAGACCGGGGCUCAACCCCGGACCCGCGUUUGAAACUUCAUUUCUCGAGGAUAGACGGGGAGAGCGGAAUUCCAUGUGUAGCGGUGAAAUGCGUAGAUAUGUGGAGGAACACCAGUGGCGAAGGCGGCUCUCUAGUUUAUUCCUGACGCUGAGGCGCGAAAGCAGGGGGAGCAAACAGGAUUAGAUACCCUGGUAGUCCCUGCCGUAAACGAUGUGUACUAGAUGUGGUUGGAUUCAACCCCGACCUUGUCGUAGCUAACGUGAUAAGUACACCGCCUGGGGAGUACGCUCGCAAGGGUGAAACUCAAAAGAAUUGACGGGGGCUCGCACAAGCAGUGGAGCAUGUGGUUUAAUUCGAUGCUACGCGAAGAACCUUACCCAGACUUGACAUGUAGUGGACAACCUCAGAGAUGAGGCUUCCCUUCGGGGCCGCUACACAGGUGCUGCAUGGUUGUCGUCAGCUCGUGCCGUGAGGUGUUGGGUUAAGUCCCGCAACGAGCGCAACCCUUAUCAUCAGUUGCCAACAGGUAAUGCUGGGGACUCUGGUGAGACUGCCUAGGUUAACUAGGAGGAAGGUGAGGAUGACGUCAAAUCAGCAUGGCCCUUAUGUCUGGGGCUACACACGUGCUACAAUGGCCGGUACAGAGGGCAGCUAAGCCGCGAGGUGGAGCAAAUCCCUUAAAACCGGUCUCAGUUCGGAUUGUAGUCUGCAACUCGACUACAUGAAGCCGGAAUUGCUAGUAAUGGCGUGUCAGCAAUAACGCCGUGAAUACGUUCUCGGGCCUUGUACACACUGCCCGUCACAUCAUGGAAGUCGGUUUCACCCGAAGUCACUGACCCAACCGCAAGGGGGGAGGUGCCGAAGGUGAGGCUGAUGACUAGGAUG